AGUGAACGCUGGCGGUAGGCCUAACACAUGCAAGUCGAACGGCAGCACAGUAAGAGCUUGCUCUUACGGGUGGCGAGUGGCGGACGGGUGAGGAAUACAUCGGAAUCUACUUUUUCGUGGGGGAUAACGUAGGGAAACUUACGCUAAUACCGCAUACGACCUACGGGUGAAAGCAGGGGAUCUUCGGACCUUGCGCGAUUGAAUGAGCCGAUGUCGGAUUAGCUAGUUGGCGGGGUAAAGGCCCACCAAGGCGACGAUCCGUAGCUGGUCUGAGAGGAUGAUCAGCCACACUGGAACUGAGACACGGUCCAGACUCCUACGGGAGGCAGCAGUGGGGAAUAUUGGACAAUGGGCGCAAGCCUGAUCCAGCCAUACCGCGUGAGUGAAGAAGGCCUUCGGGUUGUAAAGCCCUUUUGUUGGGAAAGAAAAGCAGCAGGUUAAUACCCCACUGUUCUGACGGUACCCAAAGAAUAAGCACCGGCUAACUUCGUG
This 492-nucleotide ribosomal RNA is filed under the name uncultured bacterium. RNAcentral describes it as "partial 16S ribosomal RNA". It matches the Rfam family "Bacterial small subunit ribosomal RNA", at positions 29 to 507 of the family's 1533-position model. The record is from RNAcentral.